Molecule: ribosomal RNA, 404 nt
Filed under: uncultured Eubacteriales bacterium
Lineage: Bacteria; Bacillati; Bacillota; Clostridia; Eubacteriales
Description: bacterial SSU rRNA
Rfam family: Bacterial small subunit ribosomal RNA
Source: RNAcentral
AAAGCCUGACCCAGCGACGCCGCGUGGAGGAAGAAGGCCUUCGGGUCGUAAACUCCUGUUUGGGGAGAAGAACAAGAGAGAAGUUAAUAGCUUCUCUCUCUGACGGUAUCCCCGGAGAAAGCUCCGGCUAAUUACGUGCCAGCAGCCGCGGUAAUACGUAAGGAGCGAGCGUUGUCCGGAUUUACUGGGCGUAAAGGGCUCGUAGGUGGCCUUUUAAGUCAGAUGUGAAAGAUCAAGGCUUAACCUUGGUAAGCAUUUGAAACUGUGUGGCUUGAGUUAAGGAGAGGAAAGUGGAAUUCCUAGUGUAGCGGUGAAAUGCGUAGAUAUUAGGAGGAAUACCAGUGGCGAAGGCGACUUUCUGGACUUAUACUGACACUGAGGAACGAAAGCAUGGGGAGCAAACA